RNAcentral lists this long non-coding RNA (1127 nucleotides) under Homo sapiens (human). Its description in RNAcentral is "HSALNT0327481". Lineage: Eukaryota; Metazoa; Chordata; Mammalia; Primates; Hominidae. The record is from RNAcentral.
GGGCGACAUCAAGCAAGUCCCAGUUACAGAAAGAACCCACUGCAGGGCGUCCAGUCACUUGCCCAGUGAAAAGACUGUAAUCAGACAACUUUAAUAAAGGGAGAGCAGGAGAGUGGUGACGAAUUUCCACAUUCCGAACAAGCUUGUCGAAAGAGGAGUGCAGGGAAGGAGCAAGAAUGAGGCACUGGAAGACGGCUGUAGGCGCAUGAUGUCACAAGUUAUUGGAAGAAAUCCCUCCAACCUAGGUUGGGACAGAUGAAGGCGGCGCUUAUUGGUGUUCACCAAAACACCAGCAUGGUGUACCAGCUUUGGCUAGAUGAUGCUCAGGAAAACACAGAUCCUGGUGCCGAACAUGAGGACAGGGCAGGCCGAAGGAGAAAGUGGAAGGAGGGGAGCUUCUCUCUCAGCCUCAUCCUUCUGGGCCUGGAUGCUGGAGAGUCAUGAGGUGCUUCAGAGUACUCUGGGUGAGGAGGGAAAGAUGGUGCCCACCACAUGGAGGCCAGCCUAGGUCUUGUAUGAAACCUGUGAGCUAGCUGAAAGCAGAGAACCCAGCAGAGGAUUCUGGGAAGGUCCUGGGGGAUGGCAGAGCCAGCAGAGAGAGGGUAUGGAUCCACCAGGCAUAGGAUGGAACAGAGCACUAUUGACCACAGUGAACUGGGGCAUGGGCAAUCAAUAAACACAUAUUAGAUUAAGCUAUUGAGACUCAGGGAUUUUUAUACAACUGACAUUCCCUAAGAAGCCAUGAUCUUCCUGUCUCAGGAGGUGCAUAAGCAGUGGUUGAAUGUUCAACAGUCAAGAAUGUUAUAAAAAGAGGUUCUUGGGAGAGUGGACCUGAUGGCCAGCAAAAAUCAUAGCUCACAUUUAUUGAGUUAUUAUGGCUCAGGCAUGUGCACAUAUUCUUUUAUUUAAAUCUACAAUAUGCUUUAUCAUGCUCAUUUUAUACAUGAGGAACACAAGGCAUGGAGAGGUUAGAUAACAUGCCUAAGAUCAUGAAGCAAGCAAGGGGGAGAAAAGAUACCCUUCUCACUCCUUCCAGACAGCUCACUUCACCACCACUCCCCACUGUCUCUAAAGCAAAAGUUAUUUGAAGGCUUAGGGACUGGUUUGGUAUUAUCCAUGCAGGGCGG